GCCCCCUCAAGCCACAACAGACCUUGUAACUGAUGAAGAGGAUGAGGAAACAAUGUCUGCUGCCUUUACAGAGGUGAAUCCAGAAAGGCCUAAAGAGAGCAUGGCUGGGCAGCAGCAGGAGCGUCCCUCAACUUCCACUGCACAGAUUGACACA
Molecule: long non-coding RNA, 154 nt
Organism: Cololabis saira (Pacific saury)
Lineage: Eukaryota; Metazoa; Chordata; Actinopteri; Beloniformes; Belonidae
Exons: 3
Source: RefSeq, a predicted model, not a curated record